UACGGGGGGGGCAAGCGUUGUUCGGAAUUACUGGGCGUAAAGGGCUCGUAGGCGGCCAACUAAGUCGGAUGUGAAAUCCCCAGGCUUAACCUGGGAACUGCAUCCGAUACUGGAUGGCUUGAAUCCGGGAGAGGGAUGCAGAAUUCCAGGUGUAGCGGUGAAAUGCGUAGAUAUCUGGAGGAAUACCAGUGGCGAAGGCGGCUUCCUGGCCUGUUCUUGACGCUGAGGCGCGAAAGCUAGGGGAGCAAACGGG
RNAcentral lists this ribosomal RNA (253 nucleotides) under uncultured bacterium. RNAcentral describes it as "partial 16S ribosomal RNA". It matches the Rfam family "Bacterial small subunit ribosomal RNA", at positions 524 to 776 of the family's 1533-position model. The record is from RNAcentral.